AACGAACGCUGGCGGCAUGCCUAACACAUGCAAGUCGAACGAGACCUUCGGGUCUAGUGGCGCACGGGUGCGUAACGCGUGGGAACCUGCCCUUAGGUUCGGAAUAACUCCCCGAAAGGGGUGCUAAUACCGGAUAAUGUCUUCGGACCAAAGAUUUAUCGCCUUUGGAUGGGCCCGCGUUGGAUUAGCUAGUUGGUAGGGUAAAAGCCUACCAAGGCGACGAUCCAUAGCUGGUCUGAGAGGAUGAUCAGCCACACUGGGACUGAGACACGGCCCAGACUCCUACGGGAGGCAGCAGUGGGGAAUAUUGGACCAUGGGCGAAAGCCUGAUCCAGCAAUGCCGCGUGAGUGAUGAAGGACUUAGGGUUGUAAAGCUCUUUUACCCGGGAUGAUAAUGACAGUACCGGGAGAAUAAGCUCCGGCUAACUCCGUG
RNAcentral lists this ribosomal RNA (433 nucleotides) under uncultured bacterium. RNAcentral's name for it is "partial 16S ribosomal RNA". It matches the Rfam family "Bacterial small subunit ribosomal RNA", at positions 29 to 507 of the family's 1533-position model. The record is from RNAcentral.